AAAAGGGAAAUACUAUUUCCUUACAACUUCAAGGCUUGGAAAUGGUUCACCGCCAAGACUCGGGGUGAUUGGAAGCCAGAGCUUACAUUUAAACAAAUAAAUUGCUUGAGGCAGGAACACGGAACAAUUUAUGUGGAUA
This is a long non-coding RNA of Hordeum vulgare subsp. vulgare (domesticated barley), 139 nucleotides long. RefSeq lists it as uncharacterized. NCBI's taxonomy places the organism in Eukaryota, Viridiplantae, Streptophyta, Magnoliopsida, Poales, Poaceae. The record is from RefSeq and is a predicted model, not a curated record. The transcript has 3 exons.